AGCGGAGAAAGAACUAACAGGAUUCCCCUAGUAACGGCGAGUGAAGCGGGAACAGCUCAAUAUUAAAAUCUGCGGUGCUUGCAUCGUCAGAAUUGUAGUUAAGAGAAGUGUUUUCCCCAGGAUGCCUGCCGGCCUAAGUUGCUUGGAACAGCACGUCAUAGAGGGUGAGAACCCCGUCUGUGGCUCGGCGGGUGCCUGGUACGAUGCACUUUCGACGAGUCGGGUUGUUUGGGAAUGCAGCCCUAACUGGGUGGUAAACUCCAUCUAAAGCUAAAUAUUGCCACGAGACCGAUAGCGAACAAGUACCGUGAGGGAAAGAUGAAAAGCACUUUGAAAAGAGAGUUAAAAGCACGUGAAGCCGUUGAAAGGGAAACGCGCGCGGCUAGCAAUGUGCCACGACGGUUCAGCCGUUUUGGGUGGCGAGGUGGCUGCUGUCGGAUCCGAAUGGACCGCGGUAGUCGUCGUCGCUGUCCGAGACGCGGUGCACUCUUUCGUGGUACGCGUCAGCGUCGGUUCGCAGCGGGCGAUAAGGCCUUGUGGAAGGUAGCUUGGGGCUUGCUCCGAGUAUUACAGACGCAGGUGCUGGGUCUGCUGUGGACCGAGGAGAGAGAGUAUCGUUGCAGUGCAUGCCGCAAGGCUAGCUACCCGUCGUCUGUCUUGCUUCACGGACUGAGGACUGCUCGCAGUGCUCGGAUCGGCGGAGUGGUCAGGCGUUGGAGUGGUAUAAAUGCGCUCAGGACGCUGGCGUCCAAAUGGCCGUGCGCGACCCGUCUUGAAACACGGACCAAGGAGUCUAACAUGUGCGCGAGUCUUUGGGUGGAAAAACCCGUGGGCGCAAUGAAAGUGAAGGUCUCUCACGAGGCUGAGGUGAGAGCUGGUGCUGCGGUGCCAGUGCAUCAUCGACCGGUCUAGUCUUCUCUAAGACGGAUCCGAGUAAGAGCGUAUUUGUUGGGACCCGAAAGAUGGUGAACUAUGCCUGAAUAGGGUGAAGCCAGAGGAAACUCUGGUGGAGGCUCGUAGCGAUUCUGACGUGCAAAUCGAUCGUCAAAUUUGGGUAUAGGGGCGAAAGACUAAUCGAACCAUCUAGUAGCUGGUUCCCUCCGAAGUUUCCCUCAGGAUAGCUGGAACUCGUAACACAGUUUUAUCAGGUAAAGCGAAUGAUUAGAGGUCUUGGGGGUGAAACACCCUCAACCUAUUCUCAAACUUUAAAUAGGUAAGAAGCGUGACUUGCUUGAUUGAAGCCACGCAAUUCAAUGUGAGUUCCAAGUGGGCCAUUUUUGGUAAGCAGAACUGGCGAUGCGGGAUGAACCGAACGCUCUGUUAAGGUGCCAAAGUCGACGCUCAUCAGACCCCAGAAAAGGUGUUGGUUGAUAUAGACAGCAGGACGGUGGCCAUGGAAGUCGGAACCCGCUAAGGAGUGUGUAACAACUCACCUGCCGAAUCAACUAGCCCUGAAAAUGGAUGGCGCUNAAGCGUCGCACCUAUACCGGGCCGUUGCUGUAAAUGCCAUGCGGCAACGAGUAGGAGGGCGCGGGGGUCGUGACGCAGCCUUUGGCGUGAGCCUGGGUCAAACGGCCUCUGGUGCAGAUCUUGGUGGUAGUAGCAAAUAUUCAAAUGAGAGCUUUGAAGACCGAAGUGGAGAAAGGUUCCAUGUGAACAGCAGUUGGACAUGGGUUAGUCGAUCCUAAGAGAUAGGGGAGCUCCGUUCUGAAGUGUGCAAUUUCGCACCGCCUAUCGAAAGGGAAUCGGGUUAAUAUUCCCGAACCAGAACGCGGAUAUUGGCUUUCGGGCCAGGAGCGGCAACGCAACCGAACUGGGAGACGUUGGCGGGAGCUCCGGGAAGAGUUUUCUUUUCUUUUUAACGGGCCAUCACCCUGGAAUCGGUUUGCCCGGAGAUAGGGUUCGCUGGCUCGGUAAAGCAGCACACUUCUUGUGCUGUCCGGUGCGCUCCCGACGGCCCUUGAAAAUCCCAGGGAGUGAUUGAUUUUCGUGUCUGGUCGUACUCAUAACCGCAGCAGGUCUCCAAGGUGAACAGCCUCUGGUUGAUAGAACAAUGUAGGUAAGGGAAGUCGGCAAAAUAGAUCCGUAACUUUGGA
Molecule: ribosomal RNA, 2096 nt
Filed under: Leucettidae sp. Sp11
Lineage: Eukaryota; Metazoa; Porifera; Calcarea; Clathrinida; Leucettidae
Description: eukaryotic LSU rRNA
Rfam family: Eukaryotic large subunit ribosomal RNA
Source: RNAcentral